AUUGAACGCUGGCGGUAUGCUUAACACAUGCAAGUCGAACGGCAGCACAGCAGAGCUUGCUCUGUGGGUGGCGAGUGGCGGACGGGUGAGUAAUACAUCGGGACCUACCCAGACGUGGGGGAUAACGUAGGGAAACUUACGCUAAUACCGCAUACGUCCUACGGGAGAAAGCAGGGGAUCUUCGGACCUUGCGCGGUUGGACGGACCGAUGUUCGAUUAGCUUGUUGGUGAGGUAAUGGCUCACCAAGGCGACGAUCGAUAGCUGGUCUGAGAGGAUGAUCAGCCACACUGGGACUGAGACACGGCCCAGACUCCUACGGGAGGCAGCAGUGGGGAAUAUUGGACAAUGGGCGCAAGCCUGAUCCAGCAAUACCGCGUGUGUGAAGAAGGCCUUCGGGUUGUAAAGCACUUUUAUCAGGAACGAAACGCUGUCGGUUAAUACCCGGCGGAACUGACGGUACCUGAGGAAUAAGCACCGGCUAACUUCGUGCCAGCCGCCGCUGUAA
This 506-nucleotide ribosomal RNA is filed under the name uncultured bacterium. RNAcentral describes it as "partial 16S ribosomal RNA". It matches the Rfam family "Bacterial small subunit ribosomal RNA", at positions 30 to 523 of the family's 1533-position model. The record is from RNAcentral.